Molecule: unclassified non-coding RNA, 275 nt
Filed under: uncultured fungus
Lineage: Eukaryota; Fungi
Description: sequence contains ITS2
Rfam family: 5.8S ribosomal RNA (bases 1-52)
Source: RNAcentral
AACGCACAUUGCGCCUCCCGGCAUUCCGGGAGGCAUGCCUGUUCGAGCGUCAUCAAUACCACUCAAGCUUGUGUUUAUUCAUGACUUGGUAUUGGAACUGGAGUGGACAUGAGCCAUUCCUAUCCGAAUUCCAGUGGCAAAGUUGUCGUCACCUAUAAGCGUAGUAAUCAACAUUAUGUUUCGCUUUGGAGCAGACAAUCUUCCGCCGUUAACCACCCCCAUCCAAAAUUUAAGUGUUUGACCUCGGAUCAGGUAGGGAUACCCGCUGAACUUAA